AUUGAACGCUGGCGGCAUGCUUUACACAUGCAAGUCGAACGGCAACGCGGGCAUGCUCCUGUCUGUGAGUGGCGGAGGCGUGAGUGAGGGAUAGGAACGUGCCACGUACUGGGGGAUGGGGCGGAGAAAUCGGGAUGAAUACCGCAUACGACCUGCGGGUCAAAGCGGGGGACGGAAAGGCCUGGCGCUAUUGCAGUGGCCGAUGUCGGAUUAGCUAGAUGGUGGGGUAAAGGCAUACCAAGGCGACGAUCCGUAGCUGGUCUGAGGAGACGACCAGCCACACUGGAACUGAGACACGGCCCAGACUCCUACGGGAGGCAGCAGUGGGGAAUGUUGGACAAUGGGGGCAACCCUGAUCCAGCCAUGCCGCGUGCGGGAAGAAGGCCUUCGGGUUGUAAAGCGCUUUUGUUCGGGAAGAAAGCAUUUGGGCUAAUACCCCUGGGGGAUGACGGUACCGGAAGAAUAAGCACCGGCUAACUACGUG
This 484-nucleotide ribosomal RNA is filed under the name uncultured bacterium. RNAcentral's name for it is "partial 16S ribosomal RNA". It matches the Rfam family "Bacterial small subunit ribosomal RNA", at positions 29 to 507 of the family's 1533-position model. The record is from RNAcentral.